RNAcentral lists this transfer RNA (73 nucleotides) under Panus rudis PR-1116 ss-1. Its description in RNAcentral is "tRNA-Ile". It matches the Rfam family "tRNA". From Rfam's summary of the family: Transfer RNA (tRNA) molecules are approximately 80 nucleotides in length. Their secondary structure includes four short double-helical elements and three loops (D, anti-codon, and T loops). The record is from RNAcentral. Lineage: Eukaryota; Fungi; Basidiomycota; Agaricomycetes; Polyporales; Panaceae.
GGCCUGAUGGCUUAGUGAUUAGAGCACUGGCUAUAUAAGCCGGAGGUCCUGGGUUUGAAUCCCGAUCAGGUCA